AUUGAACACUGGCGGCAGGCCUAACACAUGCAAGUCGAGCGGAAACGAAGGGAGCUUGCUCCCAGGCGUCGAGCGGCGGACGGGUGAGUAACACGUGAGAAUCUGCCCAUUAGUGGGGGACAACUCGGGGAAACUCGAGCUAAUACCGCAUAAUCCCUACGGGCGAAAGCAGGGGACCUUUUGGCCUUGCGCUGAUGGUUGAGCUCGCGUCGGAUUAGCUUGUUGGUGAGGUAAAGGCUCACCAAGGCGACGAUCCGUAGCUGGUCUGAGAGGAUGAUCAGCCACACUGGGACUGAGACACGGCCCAGACUCCUACGGGAGGCAGCAGUGGGGAAUCUUGGACAAUGGGGGCAACCCUGAUCCAGCCAUGCCGCGUGUGUGAAGAAGGCCUUCGGGUUGUAAAGCACUUUCAGCAGGGAGGAAGGCUUUGGCCGAAUAGGUUGAAGUACUUGACGUUACCUGCAGAAGAAGCACCGGCCAAUUUCGUGCCAGCCGCCGCCGUAA
This 504-nucleotide ribosomal RNA is filed under the name uncultured bacterium. RNAcentral describes it as "partial 16S ribosomal RNA". It matches the Rfam family "Bacterial small subunit ribosomal RNA", at positions 30 to 523 of the family's 1533-position model. The record is from RNAcentral.